This 356-nucleotide transfer-messenger RNA is filed under the name bacterium. It matches the Rfam family "transfer-messenger RNA". Rfam says of the family: Bacterial tmRNA, also known as 10Sa RNA or SsrA, is named for its dual tRNA and mRNA-like properties. Its role is to liberate the mRNA from a stalled ribosome. The record is from RNAcentral. RNAcentral also lists the same sequence under 3 other names.
GGGGACGAAAGGAUUCGACAGGGGGCUAGGUAGCCGGAUAGCAGGCCGAGGUUGGCUGUCACCCUCGUAAAUCAGGCGGCCGAAAAUAACUGGCAAUCGCCAACUCGCUCUCGCCGCUUAAGUAGCGACGACGUUCCCGGCGACCCUCGCCCUGGUGGGGUUACCGGGAACGACGCAAUGCCAGGGUGCCGCGGUUCGACGCCGAUAACGGCCGCGAAAGACUCAUCGGCUGGCCGGGUGGCAUGGGGACCACCACUGACGCUCCCGGCAAGACCCGAAUCGGUGGGAAAGCCUGUAGGACAAUCCGGAGCUGAACUUCGCUGGACCGGGGGUUCAACUCCCCCGCGUCUCCACCA